This 374-nucleotide ribosomal RNA is filed under the name uncultured eukaryote. RNAcentral describes it as "SSU rRNA". It matches the Rfam family "Eukaryotic small subunit ribosomal RNA", at positions 587 to 972 of the family's 1831-position model. The record is from RNAcentral.
AGCUCCAAUAGCGUAUAUUAAAGUUGUUGCAGUUAAAAAGCUCGUAGUUGAAUUUCUGGCCGGCGCUGUUCACGGCUCUCGCAGUCGGUUCAGGAGCCUGGUCAUCCGUAUGGGAAGCUAGCACGUCCUUCAGUGGUCGGCUAGUGGAUCAUACACUUUACUUUGAAAAAAUUAGAGUGUUUCAGGCAGGCAAUUGCUUGGAUACUGCAGCAUGGAAUAAUGGAAUAGGACUUUGACCUAUUUGUUGGUUUCUUGAGGUCAAAGUAAUGAUUAAUAGGGACAGUUAGGGGCAUCCGUAUUUAAUUGUCAGAGGUGAAAUUCUUGGAUUUAUUAAAGACGAACUUAUGCGAAAGCAUUUGCCAAGGAUGUUUUCA